This 421-nucleotide ribosomal RNA is filed under the name uncultured archaeon. RNAcentral's name for it is "partial 16S ribosomal RNA". It matches the Rfam family "Archaeal small subunit ribosomal RNA", at positions 323 to 746 of the family's 1478-position model. The record is from RNAcentral.
CUACGGGGGGCUGCAGUUAGGAAUAUUCUGCAAUACGCGCAAGCGUGACAGAUUGAACCAGAGUGCUUUCCAACUGGAAAGCUUUUGCCAAAUGUAAAAAGUUUGGCGAAUAAGGACUGGGUAAGACGAGUGCCAGCCGCCGCGGUAAUACUCGCGGUCCAAGUCGCAGCCAUUUUUAUUGGGUCUAAAACAUCCGUAGCUUGCUUGAUAAGUUUCCUGUGAAAUCCGGCUUCUUAAGAGUCGGACGGGCGGGAAGUACUACCAAGCUAGAGACUGGAAGACGUAAGAAGUACGGUUAAAGUAGCGGUAAAAUGUGUUAAUCUUAAUCGGACUAACAAUAGCGAAGGCAUCUUACGAGGACAGUUCUGACAGUAAGGGAUGAAGGCUAGGGGCGCAAAACGGAUUAGAUACCCGCGUAGUC